GAGGAAGGGGAUUCUGAAGGACGAAGUGGACCCUUCGGGCCAAGGUCCUGAUAAGGAAGACUAAGUUCAACUUUUCAUAUGAAAAACAAAGAAAGGGUUUUCCUUCUACAUGGUACAUAAUUUGGCUUCAUUUGAGGACAUGUAUUGAUACCAUCCCAGUCAGAGAGAUGCUGCCAAUGAAUUGUUCAUCAGUCUCUUUUGUAUGUUUUGCUUUAUGAUGCCAUAUCUGUAAGUUGCUAAUGCUACCUGCUGGCACUUAAGAGACCAUUUCAAAAUAUGUAUGUGAGAUUAAGCUUUUGUGCA
Vitis vinifera (wine grape) is the source of this 303-nucleotide long non-coding RNA. RefSeq lists it as uncharacterized. Lineage: Eukaryota; Viridiplantae; Streptophyta; Magnoliopsida; Vitales; Vitaceae. The transcript has 2 exons. The record is from RefSeq and is a predicted model, not a curated record.